UGAGGAAUAUUGGACAAUGGAUGGAAAUCUGAUCCAGCCAUGCCGCGUGCAGGAAGACGGUCCUAUGGAUUGUAAACUGCUUUAGCAUGGGAGCAAUAAGGUGUACGCGUACACCGAUGAGAGUACCAUGAGAAUAAGCACCGGCUAACUCCGUGCCAGCAGCCGCGGUAAUACGGGGGAUGCGAGCGUUAUCCGGAUUCAUUGGGUUUAAAGGGUGCGUAGGCGGCUUUGCAAGUCAGCGGUGAAAGGCCCGGGCUCAACCCGGAAAGUGCCGUUGAUACUGUGAGGCUGGAGUGCGGAUGCUGUGGGAGGGAAUGAGUGGUGUAGCGGUGAAAUGCAUAGAUAUCACUCAGAACACCGAUUGCGAAGGCAUCUCACAAAUCCGCAAUUGACGCUGAGGCACGAAAGCG
Molecule: ribosomal RNA, 410 nt
Filed under: uncultured Rikenellaceae bacterium
Lineage: Bacteria; Pseudomonadati; Bacteroidota; Bacteroidia; Bacteroidales; Rikenellaceae
Description: bacterial SSU rRNA
Rfam family: Bacterial small subunit ribosomal RNA
Source: RNAcentral